ACAAUGCGGGAAACCGUGAUAAGGGGAUCUCGAGUGCCAGCAUAUAAUGUUGGCUGUCCAGAUGCCUAAAAAGCAUCUGUUAGCAAGGGCCGGGCAAGACCGGUGCCAGCCGCCGCGGUAACACCGGCGGCCCGAGUGGUAACCGCUAUUAUUGGGUCUAAAGGGUCUGUAGCCGGCCAGGUAAGUCCCUUGGGAAAUCUGGCAGCUCAACUGUCAGGCUGCUAGGGGAUACUGUUUGGCUUGGGACCGGGAGAGGUGAGAGGUACCUUGGGGGUAGGGGUGAAAUCUUGUGAUCCUCGAGGGACCACCAGUGGCGAAGGCGUCUCACCAGAACGGGUCCGACGGUAAGGGACGAAAGCUAGGGGCACGAACCGGAUUAGAUACCCGGGUAGUCCUAGCCGUAAACGAUGCUCGCUAGGUGUCAGUCACGGUGCGACCGUGAUUGGUGCCGUAGGGAAGCCGUGAAGCGAGCCACCUGGGAAGUAUGGCCGCAAGGCUGAAACUU
RNAcentral lists this ribosomal RNA (505 nucleotides) under uncultured Methanosaeta sp. RNAcentral's name for it is "bacterial SSU rRNA". It matches the Rfam family "Archaeal small subunit ribosomal RNA", at positions 352 to 857 of the family's 1478-position model. Lineage: Archaea; Methanobacteriati; Methanobacteriota; Methanomicrobia; Methanotrichales; Methanotrichaceae. The record is from RNAcentral.